This 2557-nucleotide ribosomal RNA is filed under the name human gut metagenome. Its description in RNAcentral is "bacterial LSU rRNA". It matches the Rfam family "Bacterial large subunit ribosomal RNA", at positions 3 to 2596 of the family's 2925-position model. The record is from RNAcentral.
UCAAGUAAUUAAGUGCAUGUGGUGGAUGCCUUGGCAGUCAGAGGCGAUGAAAGACGUGAUAGCCUGCGAAAAGCUCCGGGGAGGCGGCAAAUAUCCUUUGAUCCGGAGAUGUCUGAAUGGGGGAACCCACCUACUUUAAGGUAGGUAUUGCAACAUGAAUACAUAGUGUUGCAAGGCGAACGAGGGGAAGUGAAACAUCUCAGUACCCUUAGGAAAAGAAAUCAAUUGAGAUUCCCUCAGUAGCGGCGAGCGAACGGGGAUCAGCCCAUUAAGUUAUGUGUGUUUUAGUGGAACGCUCUGGGAAGUGCGAACGUAGAGGGUGAUAUUCCCGUACACGAAAGGGCACACAUAAUGAUGACGAGUAGGGCGAGGCACGUGAAACCUUGUCUGAAUAUGGGGGGACCAUCCUCCAAGGCUAAAUACUCCUGACUGACCGAUAGUGAACCAGUACCGUGAGGGAAAGGCGAAAAGAACCCCUGUGAGGGGAGUGAAAUAGAUCCUGAAACCGCAUGCAUACAAGCAGUGGGAGCACCUUCGUGGUGUGACUGCGUACCUUUUGUAUAAUGGGUCAGCGACUUAUAUUCAGUAGCGAGGUUAACCGUAUAGGGGAGCCGUAGAGAAAUCGAGUCUUAAUAGGGCGUUUAGUUGCUGGGUAUAGACCCGAAACCAGGCGAUCUAUCCAUGAGCAGGUUGAAGGUUGGGUAACACUAACUGGAGGACCGAACCCACUGUCGUUGAAAAGCCAGGGGAUGACUUGUGGAUAGGGGUGAAAGGCUAAUCAAGCCUGGUGAUAGCUGGUUCUCCCCGAAAGCUAUUUAGGUAGCGCCUCGGACGAAUACCAUAGGGGGUAGAGCACUGUUUCGGCUAGGGGGUCAUCCCGACUUACCAAACCGAUGCAAACUCCGAAUACCUAUGAGUACUAUCCGGGAGACAGACUGCGGGUGCUAACGUCCGUAGUCAAGAGGAAAACAAUCCAGACCGCCAGCUAAGGCCCCAAAAUCAUAGUUAAGUGGGAAACGAUGUGGGAAGGCAUAGACAGCUAGGAGGUUGGCUUAGAAGCAGCCACCCUUUAAAGAAAGCGUAAUAGCUCACUAGUCGAGUCGGCCUGCGCGGAAGAUGUAACGGGGCUAAAACUAUGUGCCGAAGCUGCGGAUGUAUACUUUGUAUACGUGGUAGGGGAGCGUUCUGUAAGCCGAUGAAGGUGUGUUGAGAAGCAUGCUGGAGGUAUCAGAAGUGCGAAUGCUGACGUGAGUAACGACAAAACGGGUGAAAAACCCGUUCGCCGAAAGACCAAGGGUUCCUGUCCAACGUUAAUCGGGGCAGGGUGAGUCGACCCCUAAGGCGAGGCCGAAAGGCGUAGUCGAUGGGAAAAUGGUUAAUAUUCCAUUACUUCUGUGUAAUGCGAUGAGAGGACGGAGAAGGCUAAAUCAGCCUGGCGUUGGUUGUCCAGGUGAAAGGAUGUAGGCAUGUAUCUUAGGCAAAUCCGGGGUACUCUAUGCUGAGAUCUGAUAGCAAGCUGUACUUGUACAGCGAAGUGGUUGAUGCCAUGCUUCCAGGAAAAGUCUCUAAGCUUCAGUUACACAGGAAUCGUACCCGAAACCGACACAGGUGGUCAGGUCGAGUAGACCAAGGCGCUUGAGAGAACUCUGCUGAAGGAACUAGGCAAAAUGGUACCGUAACUUCGGGAGAAGGUACGCUGUUGUUGGUGAUGGAACUCGCUUCCUGAGCUGACGACAGCCGCAGAAACCAGGCCGCUGCAACUGUUUAUUAAAAACAUAGCACUCUGCAAACACGAAAGUGGACGUAUAGGGUGUGAUGCCUGCCCGGUGCUGGAAGGUUAAUUGAUGGGGUUAGCGUAAGCGAAGCUCUUGAUCGAAGCCCCAGUAAACGGCGGCCGUAACUAUAACGGUCCUAAGGUAGCGAAAUUCCUUGUCGGGUAAGUUCCGACCUGCACGAAUGGCAUAAUGAUGGCGGCGCUGUCUCCAGCAGAGGCUCAGUGAAAUCGAAAUCGCUGUGAAGAUGCAGUGUACCCGCGGCUAGACGGAAAGACCCCGUGAACCUUUACUGCAGCUUGACACUGAACUUUGACCUUACUUGUGUAGGAUAGGUGGGAGGCUUUGAAGCUGGAACGCUAGUUCCAGUGGAGCCGUCCUUGAAAUACCACCCUGGUAAUGUUGAGGUUCUAACUCUGUCCCGUGAUCCGGGACGAGGACCGUGUCUGGUGGGUAGUUUGACUGGGGCGGUCUCCUCCUAAAGAGUAACGGAGGAGUACGAAGGUGCGCUCAGCGUGGUCGGAAAUCACGCGUAGAGUAUAAAGGCAAAAGCGCGCUUAACUGCGAGACCCACAAGUCGAGCAGGUACGAAAGUAGGUCUUAGUGAUCCGGUGGUUCUGUAUGGAAGGGCCAUCGCUCAACGGAUAAAAGGUACUCUGGGGAUAACAGGCUGAUACCGCCCAAGAGUUCAUAUCGACGGCGGUGUUUGGCACCUCGAUGUCGGCUCAUCACAUCCUGGGGCUGAAGUAGGUCCCAAGGGUAUGGCUGUUCGCCAUUUAAAGUGG